UGCCACAGGGAAAAUAAAAAAUAGCCUCCGAUGAAGCCCUUCCCAAUUCCCAUUUCGUGCGAUUUUUCUGCCAUUAUAUUCACCAUUCUGUUUUCUAUGGGCUGACCGAAGAAAAAUGCCUAACUGCGAAGGUGAGCUAGCGGAGCCGCCGCACUGGAAUACCUCGCUGCCGAUAAGCUUAUGUUUUUCGAUUUUUUUUUUGCCAACCGAGGCUUCUU
RNAcentral lists this long non-coding RNA (218 nucleotides) under Carica papaya (papaya). RNAcentral's name for it is "long non-coding RNA (CPAP_LNC012188)". Lineage: Eukaryota; Viridiplantae; Streptophyta; Magnoliopsida; Brassicales; Caricaceae. The record is from RNAcentral.